ACGACUACAGGUGAAUCAUCGAAUCUUUGAACGCAAUUUGCACCUCGUGGCACUUGUCACAAGGUAUACUUGUUUGAGUAUCCACAAAAUCUUACCUCCCCUUUGGGGCGUAAGUAGACCUGAGAUUCGAUUCACUUUCAAUAGUGAGUCGUCUCUUUAAAGAUAGGCCAGCAUAGAACGUCUCUGCUAGAUGUGGCUAUUGGGAUAACAUCCUAACAAUAGUCCAGGCAUUGAUACUUCUUGGUCAAAAAGAUCUGCAUGAUGGUUUUUCUUUCGGGAAGAAUUGCGAUAAGGAUAAUGAAUUAGCAAUAAUUUAACAAACUAUGGAUCUCAAAUCAAGUAGGGAUACCCGCUGAACUUAAGCAUAUCAAUAAGCGGAGG
This 381-nucleotide ribosomal RNA is filed under the name uncultured Agaricales. RNAcentral's name for it is "eukaryotic LSU rRNA". The stretch from base 326 to 381 matches the Rfam family "Eukaryotic large subunit ribosomal RNA", at positions 1 to 56 of the family's 3401-position model. Lineage: Eukaryota; Fungi; Basidiomycota; Agaricomycetes; Agaricales. The record is from RNAcentral.